UUAGCCCUUAAGCAUCUUGGAAGUUAGUGGAACGGUCCUGGAAAGGCCGGCGAUACAGGGUGAUAGCCCCGUACACGAAAACAACCUUGAUGUGAAAUCGAGUAGGGCGGGACACGUGACAUCCUGUCUGAAUAUGGGGGGACCAUCCUCCAAGGCUAAAUACUCCUGACUGACCGAUAGUGAACCAGUACCGUGAGGGAAAGGCGAAAAGAACCCCUGUGAGGGGAGUGAAAUAGAACCUGAAACCGUGUACGUACAAGCAGUGGGAGCCCUUCGGGGUGACUGCGUACCUUUUGUAUAAUGGGUCAGCGACUUACAUUUUGUAGCGAGGUUAACCGUAUAGGGGAGCCGUAGGGAAACCGAGUCUUAACUGGGCGUCUAGUUGCAAGGUGUAGACCCGAAACCGGGUGAUCUAGCCAUGGGCAGGUUGAAGGUUGAGUAACAUCAACUGGAGGACCGAACCCACUAACGUUGCAAAGUUAGGGGAUGACCUGUGGCUGGGGGUGAAAGGCCAAUCAAACUCGGAGAUAGCUGGUUCUCCCCGAAAGCUAUUUAGGUAGCGCCUCGGACGAAUACUACUGGGGGUAGAGCACUGUUUGGGCUAGGGGGUCAUCCCGACUUACCAACCCCAUGCAAACUCCGAAUACCAGUAAGUAAUAUCCGGGAGACACACGGCGGGUGCUAACGUCCGUCGUGAAGAGGGAAACAACCCAGACCGCCGGCUAAGGUCCCAAAGUUCUGGUUAAGUGGGAAACGAUGUGGGAAGGCUCAGACAGCUAGGAUGUUGGCUUAGAAGCAGCCAUCAUUUAAAGAAAGCGUAAUAGCUCACUAGUCGAGUCGGCCUGCGCGGAAGAUGUAACGGGGCUCAAACCAGGCACCGAAGCCGCGGAUUCACGCUAAGCGUGAGUGGUAGGGGAGCGU
RNAcentral lists this ribosomal RNA (921 nucleotides) under Aeromonas hydrophila. RNAcentral's name for it is "partial 23S ribosomal RNA". It matches the Rfam family "Bacterial large subunit ribosomal RNA", at positions 306 to 1239 of the family's 2925-position model. The record is from RNAcentral. Lineage: Bacteria; Pseudomonadati; Pseudomonadota; Gammaproteobacteria; Aeromonadales; Aeromonadaceae.